RNAcentral lists this long non-coding RNA (1376 nucleotides) under Capra hircus (goat). Lineage: Eukaryota; Metazoa; Chordata; Mammalia; Artiodactyla; Bovidae. The record is from RNAcentral.
UGACACCCAGUAUCGGACCGCAAUCAGAAAGGCAAGGAUUAUGGGAGGGGAGUUUGGGGGAGAAUGGAUACAUGUGUAUGUGUGACUGAGACUCUUCACUGUUCAGCUGAAACUAUCCCAACAUUCUGAAUCGGCUGCACCCCAAUGCAAAAUACAAAGGUAAAGAAAUGCAAGGACCUAAAGCUUCAUUACUCUAAGACAAGCUGGGUUUUCCCCCCACAAGUUGUCACUUGAGCAUGAAGACUAGAACCUUGUCUUUGUAUUUUGUUCUCUUGUGACUCUUCAACUUGAUGGUAUUUGUCUGCUGAGUCUGUCUCUACAGAACUGGCUCCUGUCUGCGGCCAUACCACCCUGAACACACCCCAUCUCGUCUGAUCUCAGAAGCUAAGCAGGGUCGGGCCUGGUUAGUACCUGGAUGAGAGAACCAGCUCUCAGUGCUGGUCUGUCUCUGUGACAUCACUUCCAGGGGCUUUCCCAUUUGUAUUUUAACUAGACCUCUCUGCUGAAUUCAACACAGUGGGCUACUGGUACAAUGGAAAUGUACAACUCUGGCUUCAGGGGAGGAAGCGAUUCUUUCCAUAGCAUUACUCCCAUGCAAACCUCAAUUUUAUUCUUUAUUAAAAGUCAGUAAUAAAAAAUAUUUCAGUAUUUACCUCUUUCCACACUGUAUGAGCCUCAGGCCAAAACCUAUGGGUUCCAGCGAAAGCAAUUCCAAGACGGAAGUUUAUAUUAAGACAAGCUUACCUUAGGAAAAAAGAGGGAAAAAAAAUCAUUCAAUUGAUAAACCUUUAGCCAGACCUAUAAAGAGAAAAAGGGAAAAGGCCCUAAUCAAUAAAAUUAGAAAUGAAAAUUAUUUCUGACAGCACAGAAAUAUAAAGAACCAUAAGAUACUACCACAAGGAACUGUAUGUCAAUAAAAUGGACACUGAAAAGAAAUGGACAAAUUCUUAGAAAGGUAUAAUCUUCCAAGACUGAACCAGGAAGACACAGAAGAUAUGAACAGACCAAUUACAAGAACUGAAACUGAAUCUGUAGUUUAAAAACUCCCAACACACAGAAGUCCAGGACCAGAUGGCUUCACAGGUGAAUUCUAUCAAACAUCUAUAGAAGAGUUAACAGCUAUCCUUGUGAAACUAUUCCAGAAAACUGCAGAGGAAAAAAUACUUCCAUACUCAUUCUAUGAGGCCACCAUCAGGUUGAUACCAAGAUCAGAUAAAAAUAUCACAUAGGAAAAAUAAUUACAGGCCAAUAUCACUUACGAAUAGAGGCAAAAGUCCUCAAAAAAAAAAAAAACCCAGCAAACUGAAUCCAACAGUACAUUAAAAGGGUCUCACACAAAUAUCAAGUGGGAUUUAUUCCAGGGAUACAAGGAUUUU